Molecule: ribosomal RNA, 488 nt
Filed under: uncultured bacterium
Lineage: Bacteria
Description: partial 16S ribosomal RNA
Rfam family: Bacterial small subunit ribosomal RNA
Source: RNAcentral
GAUGAACGCUGACAGCAUGCUUAACACAUGCAAGUCAACCUGACUUUCGGUAUUUAUCUUUGGCUUGGGUUGCGGACGGGCGAGUAACGCGUAAAUAACUAGCCUCACAGUUAGAGACAACAUUUGUCAACGAAUGCUAAUACCUAAUAUUAUGUUAAUAGGACAUCAUAUAUUUAUGAAAGCUAUCAGCGUUGUGAGAGAGCUUUGCGUCGCACUAGCUAGUUGGAAAGGUAAAGGCUCACAAAGGCGACGAUGGGUAGCCGGCCUGAGAGGGUGAUCGGCCACACUGGAAGUGAGAAAGGGUCCAGACAGCUACGGGAGGAAGCAGUAGGGAAUCUUCCGGAAGGGGGGAAAGCCUGACGGAGCAAAGCGGCGUGAGUGAUGAAGGUCUUCGGAUCGUAAAAAUAUGUUAUUAGGGAAGAAAAUAUGUGUAAGUAACUGUGCACAUAUUGACGGUACCUAAUAAGAAAGCCACGGCUAACUACGUG